RNAcentral lists this ribosomal RNA (272 nucleotides) under uncultured prokaryote. Its description in RNAcentral is "partial 16S ribosomal RNA". It matches the Rfam family "Bacterial small subunit ribosomal RNA", at positions 524 to 796 of the family's 1533-position model. The record is from RNAcentral.
UACGGAGGAUCCGAGCGUUAUCCGGAUUUAUUGGGUUUAAAGGGUGCGUAGGCGGCACUUUAAGUCAGGGGUGAAAGACGGCAGCUCAACUGUCGCAGUGCCCUUGAUACUGAAGUGCUUGAAUGCGGUUGAAGACGGCGGAAUGAGACAAGUAGCGGUGAAAUGCAUAGAUAUGUCUCAGAACACCGAUUGCGAAGGCAGCUGUCUAAGCCGUUAUUGACGCUGAUGCACGAAAGCGUGGGGAUCGAACAGGAUUAGAAACCCGGUAGUCC